This 249-nucleotide unclassified non-coding RNA is filed under the name uncultured fungus. RNAcentral's name for it is "partial contains 5.8S ribosomal RNA, internal transcribed spacer 2, and large subunit ribosomal RNA". The record is from RNAcentral. Lineage: Eukaryota; Fungi.
AACGCACAUUGCGCCCCUUGGUAUUCCGGGGGGCAUGCCUGUUCGAGCGUCAUUUCAACCCUCAAGCUCUGCUUGGUAUUGGGCACCGUCCUUUGCGGGCGCGCCUCAAAGACCUCGGCGGUGGCGUCUUGCCUCAAGCGUAGUAGAAUACACCUCGCUUCGGAGCGUAAGGCGUCGCCCGCCGGACGAACCUUCUGAACUUUUCUCAAGGUUGACCUCGGAUCAGGUAGGGAUACCCGCUGAACUUAA